Molecule: microRNA precursor, 96 nt
Filed under: Prunus persica (peach)
Lineage: Eukaryota; Viridiplantae; Streptophyta; Magnoliopsida; Rosales; Rosaceae
Description: miR6277 stem-loop (ppe-MIR6277)
Source: miRBase by way of RNAcentral
UGUCUUUCUACCUCUCUCUUUCCACACAGAUUUGUCCUUUGAGAAUCAAACAUGUGAAGGACGAAUGUGUGUGGAAAGAGCGAGACGUAAAGGGAC